UAAUCAUGUGACAGUGUGUGACAUCACAAAGAAGACCCCUUGAAGACCCUCUAUCAAUGUGAUGAGAUGCCAUUGUCUAAUAAGGAGAGGGCUGCACGGCACAGACAAAAGAUCAAUGCAGAUCCAGUUGCUAGGGAGGAAAGACUAGCCAGAAGAAGAGCAAGCUAUCAGAGAAGAAAGA
This is a long non-coding RNA of Cololabis saira (Pacific saury), 181 nucleotides long. RefSeq lists it as uncharacterized. The transcript has 3 exons. Lineage: Eukaryota; Metazoa; Chordata; Actinopteri; Beloniformes; Belonidae. The record is from RefSeq and is a predicted model, not a curated record.